UCGCUCAGAUGAACGCUGGCGUGCGUGCCUUAUUACAUGCAAGUCGAGCGAACAGACGAGGAGCUUGCUCCUCUGACGUAGCGGCGGACGGGUGAGUAACACGUGGAUAACCUACCUAUAAGACUGGGAUAACUUCGGGAAACCGGAGCUAAUACCGGAUAAUAUAUUGAACCGCAUGGUUCAAUAGUGAAAGACGGUUUUGCUGUCACUUAUAGAUGGAUCCGCGCCGCAUUAGCUAGUUGGUAAGGUAACGGCUUACCAAGGCAACGAUGCGUAGCCGACCUGAGAGGGUGAUCGGCCACACUGGAACUGAGACACGGUCCAGACUCCUACGGGAGGCAGCAGUAGGGAAUCUUCCGCAAUGGGCGAAAGCCUGACGGAGCAACGCCGCGUGAGUGAUGAAGGUCUUCGGAUCGUAAAACUCUGUUAUUAGGGAAGAACAAAUGUGUAAGUAACUAUGCACGUCUUGACGGUACCUAAUCAGAAAGCCACGGCUAACUACGUGCCAGCAGCCGCGGUAAUACGUAGGUGGCAAGCGUUAUCCGGAAUUAUUGGGCGUAAAGCGCGCGUAGGCGGUUUUUUAAGUCUGAUGUGAAAGCCCACGGCUCAACCGUGGAGGGUCAUUGGAAACUGGAAAACUUGAGUGCAGAAGAGGAAAGUGGAAUUCCAUGUGUAGCGGUGAAAUGCGCAGAGAUAUGGAGGAACACCAGUGGCGAAGGCGACUUUCUGGUCUGUAACUGACGCUGAUGUGCGAAAGCGUGGGGAUCAAACAGGAUUAGAUACCCUGGUAGUCCACGCCGUAAACGAUGAGUGCUAAGUGUUAGGGGGUUUCCGCCCCUUAGUGCUGCAGCUAACGCAUUAAGCACUCCGCCUGAGACGUCACUUGG
This 887-nucleotide ribosomal RNA is filed under the name Staphylococcus sp. M_Sw_oHS_09/11_4_2(1). RNAcentral's name for it is "bacterial SSU rRNA". It matches the Rfam family "Bacterial small subunit ribosomal RNA", at positions 20 to 888 of the family's 1533-position model. Lineage: Bacteria; Bacillati; Bacillota; Bacilli; Caryophanales; Staphylococcaceae. The record is from RNAcentral.